RNAcentral lists this ribosomal RNA (440 nucleotides) under uncultured bacterium. Its description in RNAcentral is "partial 16S ribosomal RNA". It matches the Rfam family "Bacterial small subunit ribosomal RNA", at positions 339 to 795 of the family's 1533-position model. The record is from RNAcentral.
CUACGGGGGGCAGCAGUGGGGAAUAUUGCACAAUGGGCGCAAGCCUGAUGCAGCAACGCCGCGUGAACGAAGAAGGUUUUCGGAUCGUAAAGUUCUUUUCUUGGGGAAGAAACCAUGACGGUACCCAAGGAAUAAGCACCGGCUAACUACGUGCCAGCAGCCGCGGUAAUACGUAGGGUGCAAGCGUUAUCCGGAAUCACUGGGCGUAAAGGGUGCGUAGGCGGUUUUACAAGUCAGAAGUGAAAGGCAAUGGCUCAACCAUUGUAAGCUUUUGAAACUGUAAGACUUGAAUGCAGGAGAGGUAAGUGGAAUUCCUAGUGUAGCGGUGAAAUGCGUAGAUAUUAGGAGGAACACCAGUGGCGAAGGCGACUUACUGGACUGUUAUUGACGCUGAGGCACGAAAGCGUGGGGAGCGAACAGGAUUAGAUACCCGCGUAGUC